This 622-nucleotide small RNA is filed under the name Pongo abelii (Sumatran orangutan). RNAcentral's name for it is "retained intron". The record is from RNAcentral. Lineage: Eukaryota; Metazoa; Chordata; Mammalia; Primates; Hominidae.
GAUAUUCUAGACGAACUCUACAAAUGAAAGCAUGUGCUACAAAACCUGAAGAACUUAGUGUUCACAAUAAUGUUUCGACCCAAAGUAAUGGCUCCCAACAGGCUUGGGGGAUGAGAUCUGCUCUGCUUGUGAGUCCUUCCAUUUCCUCUGCUCCUGUGCCAGUGGAGAUAGAGAAUCUUCCACAGAAUCCUGGAACAGACCAGCAUGACAGGAAAUGCAUUCCUCUGAAUAUUGAUUUGCUGAAUAGCCCAGACUUAUUGGAAACAACGAUUGGUGAUGUAAUUGGGGCAUCUGACACUAUGGAAACAUCCCGAGCACCGAAUGACGUUAAUGUAGCCACCAGGCUUCCUGGAUUAGGGGAACCUGAAGUUGAAUAUGAGAGUAAGUAAAUGUUCCAUUAUACGUCAGUAAUACCUUUUUAUCUUCCUUUGAAAUAAGAUAUUUAAAUCAGCUUCUCCAAUAAUAUUUUUUGUACUAGUUCAACUUUUAAAUUUAAGUCAGAAGAGUUAUGCCCUCUUGCCUUUUUGACUUAAGGGAACACUGAAAUAUUUAAGAUAACAUAAUUGAGGUCAUUAAACAUGUGUGUCAUUUAUAAGACAUUAAACAUUUAAGAGUCUUCAAA